RNAcentral lists this unclassified non-coding RNA (340 nucleotides) under uncultured Russula. RNAcentral describes it as "sequence contains ITS2". The record is from RNAcentral. Lineage: Eukaryota; Fungi; Basidiomycota; Agaricomycetes; Russulales; Russulaceae.
AACGCACCUUGCGCCCCUUGGCAUUCCGAGGGGCACACCCGUUUGAGUGUCGUGAAAUUCUCAAAAACCCUUCCUUUGGUGGAAAGGAUUUUGGACUUGGAGGCCUUUUGCUGGUUUCACCUUGAAGCGAGCUCCUCCCAAAUGGAUUAGUGGGGUCUGCUUUGCCGGUCCUAGACGUGAUAGGAUGUUUCUACGUCUUGGGUUUCUGCACUGUACCUCUGCUUCUAACCGUCUCAUUGACAAUGAUGGUGUUCCGGUCACCGCCGAUUUAUCGGUUGGGAGGCUUGACCCACAAAACGACCUUGACCUCAAAUCGGGUGAGACUACCCGCUGAACUUAA